Molecule: long non-coding RNA, 237 nt
Filed under: Salvia miltiorrhiza (redroot sage)
Lineage: Eukaryota; Viridiplantae; Streptophyta; Magnoliopsida; Lamiales; Lamiaceae
Description: long non-coding RNA (SMIL_LNC014327)
Source: RNAcentral
CUGGUGAAAGCAGAUCUCGGCUGCUCUGCGCUAGUCAAGGUAGAGUUCGGCUGCUCUGCACUGGUCAAAUUAGGAACUUCCACUUUGUUAUCCACCAUCUUACCACUGCGAAGAACAGUUACAGCAAGAGCUUGAUGCGUCUGAGCAGGUUGACCAUGAAACUUCCCGGGUUGCUGUUGUUGUUGGAUUUGAUUCAAGGCACCGGAAAGUUGUCCAACCGUAGUCUCGAGCCUUUUG